GGGUUGUGAGGUUAAGCGACUAAGCGUACACGGUGGAUGCCCUGGCAGUCAGAGGCGAUGAAGGACGUGCUAAUCUGCGAUAAGCGUCGGUAAGGUGAUAUGAACCGUUAUAACCGGCGAUUUCCGAAUGGGGAAACCCAGUGUGAUUCGUCACACUAUCAUUAACUGAAUCCAUAGGUUAAUGAGGCGAACCGGGGGAACUGAAACAUCUAAGUACCCCGAGGAAAAGAAAUCAACCGAGAUUCCCCCAGUAGCGGCGAGCGAACGGGGAGCAGCCCAGAGCCUGAAUCAGUGUGUGUGUUAGUGGAAGCGUCUGGAAAGGCGUGCGAUACAGGGUGACAGCCCCGUACACAAAAAUGCACAUGCUGUGAGCUCGAUGAGUAGGGCGGGACACGUGGUAUCCUGUCUGAAUAUGGGGGGACCAUCCUCCAAGGCUAAAUACUCCUGACUGACCGAUAGUGAACCAGUACCGUGAGGGAAAGGCGAAAAGAACCCCGGCGAGGGGAGUGAAAAAGAACCUGAAACCGUGUACGUACAAGCAGUGGGAGCACAGAGCAAUCUGUGUGACUGCGUACCUUUUGUAUAAUGGGUCAGCGACUUAUAUUCUGUAGCAAGGUUAACCGAAUAGGGGAGCCGAAGGGAAACCGAGUCUUAACUGGGCGUUAAGUUGCAGGGUAUAGACCCGAAACCCGGUGAUCUAGCCAUGGGCAGGUUGAAGGUUGGGUAACACUAACUGGAGGACCGAACCGACUAAUGUUGAAAAAUUAGCGGAUGACUUGUGGCUGGGGGUGAAAGGCCAAUCAAACCGGGAGAUAGCUGGUUCUCCCCGAAAGCUAUUUAGGUAGCGCCUCGUGAAUUCAUCUCCGGGGGUAGAGCACUGUUUCGGCAAGGGGGUCAUCCCGACUUACCAACCCGAUGCAAACUGCGAAUACCGGAGAAUGUUAUCACGGGAGACACACGGCGGGUGCUAACGUCCGUCGUGAAGAGGGAAACAACCCAGACCGCCAGCUAAGGUCCCAAAGUCAUGGUUAAGUGGGAAACGAUGUGGGAAGGCCCAGACAGCCAGGAUGUUGGCUUAGAAGCAGCCAUCAUUUAAAGAAAGCGUAAUAGCUCACUGGUCGAGUCGGCCUGCGCGGAAGAUGUAACGGGGCUAAACCAUGCACCGAAGCUGCGGCAGCGACGCUUAUGCGUUGUUGGGUAGGGGAGCGUUCUGUAAGCCUGCGAAGGUGUGCUGUGAGGCAUGCUGGAGGUAUCAGAAGUGCGAAUGCUGACAUAAGUAACGAUAAAGCGGGUGAAAAGCCCGCUCGCCGGAAGACCAAGGGUUCCUGUCCAACGUUAAUCGGGGCAGGGUGAGUCGACCCCUAAGGCGAGGCCGAAAGGCGUAGUCGAUGGGAAACAGGUUAAUAUUCCUGUACUUGGUGUUACUGCGAAGGGGGGACGGAGAAGGCUAUGUUGGCCGGGCGACGGUUGUCCCGGUUUAAGCGUGUAGGCUGGUUUUCCAGGCAAAUCCGGAAAAUCAAGGCUGAGGCGUGAUGACGAGGCACUACGGUGCUGAAGCAACAAAUGCCCUGCUUCCAGGAAAAGCCUCUAAGCAUCAGGUAACAUCAAAUCGUACCCCAAACCGACACAGGUGGUCAGGUAGAGAAUACCAAGGCGCUUGAGAGAACUCGGGUGAAGGAACUAGGCAAAAUGGUGCCGUAACUUCGGGAGAAGGCACGCUGAUAUGUAGGUGAAGUCCCUCGCGGAUGGAGCUGAAAUCAGUCGAAGAUACCAGCUGGCUGCAACUGUUUAUUAAAAACACAGCACUGUGCAAACACGAAAGUGGACGUAUACGGUGUGACGCCUGCCCGGUGCCGGAAGGUUAAUUGAUGGGGUUAGCGCAAGCGAAGCUCUUGAUCGAAGCCCCGGUAAACGGCGGCCGUAACUAUAACGGUCCUAAGGUAGCGAAAUUCCUUGUCGGGUAAGUUCCGACCUGCACGAAUGGCGUAAUGAUGGCCAGGCUGUCUCCACCCGAGACUCAGUGAAAUUGAACUCGCUGUGAAGAUGCAGUGUACCCGCGGCAAGACGGAAAGACCCCGUGAACCUUUACUAUAGCUUGACACUGAACAUUGAGCCUUGAUGUGUAGGAUAGGUGGGAGGCUUUGAAGUGUGGACGCCAGUCUGCAUGGAGCCGACCUUGAAAUACCACCCUUUAAUGUUUGAUGUUCUAACGUUGACCCGUGAUCCGGGUUGCGGACAGUGUCUGGUGGGUAGUUUGACUGGGGCGGUCUCCUCCUAAAGAGUAACGGAGGAGCACGAAGGUUGGCUAAUCCUGGUCGGACAUCAGGAGGUUAGUGCAAUGGCAUAAGCCAGCUUGACUGCGAGCGUGACGGCGCGAGCAGGUGCGAAAGCAGGUCAUAGUGAUCCGGUGGUUCUGAAUGGAAGGGCCAUCGCUCAACGGAUAAAAGGUACUCCGGGGAUAACAGGCUGAUACCGCCCAAGAGUUCAUAUCGACGGCGGUGUUUGGCACCUCGAUGUCGGCUCAUCACAUCCUGGGGCUGAAGUAGGUCCCAAGGGUAUGGCUGUUCGCCAUUUAAAGUGGUACGCGAGCUGGGUUUAGAACGUCGUGAGACAGUUCGGUCCCUAUCUGCCGUGGGCGCUGGAGAACUGAGGGGGGCUGCUCCUAGUACGAGAGGACCGGAGUGGACGCAUCACUGGUGUUCGGGUUGUCAUGCCAAUGGCACUGCCCGGUAGCUAAAUGCGGAAGAGAUAAGUGCUGAAAGCAUCUAAGCACGAAACUUGCCCCGAGAUGAGUUCUCCCUGACUCCUUGAGAGUCCUGAAGGAACGUUGAAGACGACGACGUUGAUAGGCCGGGUGUGUAAGCGCAGCGAUGCGUUGAGCUAACCGGUACUAAUGAACCGUGAGGCUUAACCUUACAACGCCGAAGCUGUU
Molecule: ribosomal RNA, 2932 nt
Filed under: Escherichia coli
Lineage: Bacteria; Pseudomonadati; Pseudomonadota; Gammaproteobacteria; Enterobacterales; Enterobacteriaceae
Also listed under: 1 other name
Description: 23S ribosomal RNA
Rfam family: Bacterial large subunit ribosomal RNA
Source: RNAcentral